UGCUGUAGGAGCACCAACCCGACGAGCAUCAUUUUUGUUGGUGCAUAGAGGAGAGCUGUAGGUGAAGCCAGAGGAUCCCCCUUUGCCUGACAGGAGCUUUACAAAGGAAGGUCAGUCACCAGCGUGGCCCUUGUCUCGGGGUGCUGCGGGUGCCUACGCUGGCAGACAAAAGCAGGUCAGGGAACAACCCAUGCUGACCAGCCGAUGGAGCAGGAUGGCCACGGCUGCGCUGCGGAGGAUGUGAUCCCCAGGCUCCUGUGGGCCAUCUUUGUUUGCAAGGCUAUUGAUGCUUCUGAUCCCAGCCUGCCUCCCUGCAGGGGGAGACGCAAGAGGAGGAGAUGUGGAGAAGUGUUGGAGAAGAGCAGAGGACAAACCUAGAGGAGUGGGCUGCUACAGGAACCAGCUUCACUUCUUGGCGUUGCAUUCUGCUGCAGCAUGGCUCCAGCUCUGAUGGCUCUAAGUGAUGUCCAAGGAGAAAGCUUGGUGAUUUAGAGAUGAAGAAGAAAGGAAUCGCACCCUUGACUCAGCAGAAACACAAGAGUGGAAAAUAACCCUUCUGACAGCUAGACAACGACACUGAACCAGUUCAGGAGAAAUGGAAGGUGGUCAUGGGAGCUGACCUUCAUCGGGAGAGACCUUUGGGAUGGAUCCGCCGGCCAGGAGAGGGAACGAGAAGCCUCCUGCAGGAAAGAGAAGUCAGUCUAGCUCAGGAGAAGCUCCUGGGAGAGGGACAUUCCUGUCGCUCACCCUUCCCGUGCCAGCCCUGCUCCAUCUGCUGGCAAGAGCCAUGCGGAGCCGCUGCUGUUGCCCGCGGGAUCCAGCCCCUCCUGUCCUCCUCCCCAGCCCACGUUCCCUCCACGGCUUCAUUUCAUGUGCCUCAAGUGCCGAGGGAGAGAAGAGCAGAGCCUCCCCCAGACACAGGAGGGAGAACAACCCUUAUUUUUGGAUCCCUGCUUUCCCAUGAGUUUCCCUCUGUUUUAGCCUCUAAAAUGCCAUCAGAGUUACAAAUUAAGUACUCUGCAUGCCGUGUAUUUACUAUCUGAUGUGUUGGCUGGGAAGUUGACUCCCCUGCUCACCCGUGGUCAGCCAAACCCAAUGGAAAUACCCUGCAAGUCCCCUGAGGUUGCACAUGGGGAUACUGAUGGGAAUGGAGUGAGAUGGCAGCACCAGCUGCUGCCUCAGCCAAGUGCCCAGGAAACCAGGGUACAGCUCUGAAAGGUGUUCAGGGGAAGCAGGAGUCCUUUGGCUCUUUGCUUUGCUGCUCAGCACUUUGCAAGGGUAUUAUUUUGGCUCUGCCUCCAUUUUUCCCUUGCCUACUAAGUGUUUAAGAGAACAGGCUGAGGAAAGCUCUGAUUUUUUCAAAAUAUGAAAGCAACAUGGAAAGCUUUUGCCAUGUAUGAACCUGCAUGGCACUGUGAAUUUGACUCACUUUUCUCUGUACCUGGAGAUGCAUGGUGAUCACAGCUCCCCUAUGGAAGGGUUUUUCAGCUCUGGCAGCAUGGGCAUUAAAUGCUUUUUCCUCUUGUCUUGCCUUCUGCUUUUGGGAAAUCAUCUGCACCUGGAAUUUGUGUCUCUUUUCCAUAUGGGAAAAGAAGUGUGUUCAUCCUGCUGUGGUCCCUACAUAUGGCAAAUCUUCCAGCUCUGGGUUACAGGCAGUCAGGUGAACGGGGUAGGUUCAGCUUCCCCACAGCAGCUGGCUCCUCGGGGAGGGAAGGAGGGCAGCCAGCGUCAGACCAGUGUUUACAGAAAGUUUAGUCUCCAGUGGAUUUCCCUAUUCCAGUGAAACAAUGGGAGGGUCUUGUGCUGUAUUAUCGGUGCUUCCUCUUUAUUCCGAUAUUAUCUGUGAAUUCUUGCAAAUAAUAGAUGACUGAGACUAUUGUUGUUUUGGGAAGUAGGAAGAUGAAAACAUUUCAUGGACCUUAGCAGUUUCAAUAGAGUUAUUCAUUGUGUUUGUAGUUAUGCAAGUCAGAAACAAGCAAAAUACCUGUUGGAAUAAAUAAUAACCCUGUGUAUUCACAAAAGCAGUUCUCUUACACCUCACUUUUAAUAAGAGAGACUGUUUCAGUCAAACAGGUGCUAGAGAGUUCAAAAUAAAAAAAGGAAAGCAAACAUUACUCCACUCUUAAUACCACGAGAUUUUGGGAAGCAAUCCAUCCCAGCUCUUCCAGGUAUCUGCUUUAAUGCAGGCAUGCUGAUAUAAAUUGCAUGAUGGUGAUUAAUAAAUCUUCUAUCAAUUGAACUUGAAGUCAAAAGAACAUACUUUUUUUUUCUUUUUUCUUUUCUAAACCUGCAUUAAAAUAGAUUAUUCAGAACUCUUGGAAUGAAAAGUGCUAGGUCAAAACUCACAUUUUUCUAGCAAGUCUAUGAAAAUUUACUAUAAAAAUGUCGCAUACUGUAGAAUCUCAAUUAUCCUGGAAGGCUUAUCCGGGUUAUGGCUUAAGUGUGCUAUUCAUGUGCUGCCAAUUUGCUCUAGAAGUACAAGAUGAGCUGCAGUGCCUUGCAAAGCAGCUGAACAGUUCCCUGGGCCAGCUGAAAUCCAGAAGCCAUUCAAUGGAUUGAUUUGGGUGCAGAAGUCUUGCAGCUUCCCUGCAGUCCCAUGCAGAGCUUCUCAGAGCUGGAAGCCACAGAGCCAUGUGGGUUCUCUGCACCUCUGGCAGGACUCAGAAUCUUCCUCUACAUCACGUGCUCCUCAUCUGGGAAGUCUUCUUGGUUUACAAACCUUGCCCUGCAACUGCACAGAGAUGGCUGUGGCAUGGGCCUGCACAGAAGCCACCUAUGGGUACCUGGCUGGACACUAAAACCUCCUGCAUCACUCAUGUAUUAUUAAUUCCUGUUACUUAAGACAUUUCUUCUCUUCUUCACCUCAAAUAAAGGAGACCUGUUGAUAUACCCAUGGGUAUAAUACUUUCUGGUCUUGGUAGAAAUUCUCUGGCUCAUUGUACUUUAACAUUGUUGAUAUUUUUUAUGCAUAUGCAAUUAAUAAAAAUUGGGCAAAACAUUUUUUUU
This 3006-nucleotide long non-coding RNA is filed under the name Taeniopygia guttata (zebra finch). RNAcentral describes it as "lncRNA (ENSTGUG00000029346.1)". Lineage: Eukaryota; Metazoa; Chordata; Aves; Passeriformes; Estrildidae. The record is from RNAcentral.